AACGCACAUUGCGCCCCUUGGUAUUCCAUGGGGCAUGCCUGUUCGAGCGUCAUUUGUACCCUCAAGCUUUGCUUGGUGAUGGGUGUUUGUUCCGCUGCAACGCGUGAACUCGCCUCAAAUCAAUUGGCAGCCGGCAAUCUGGUGUUUGAGCGCAGCACAUUUUGCGCUCUUCGCUGUGUAUUGCGGGCGUCCAUGAAGCCUAUAUUUUCGCGCUUGACCUCGGAUCAGGUAGGGAUACCCGCUGAACUUAA
This 251-nucleotide unclassified non-coding RNA is filed under the name uncultured Pleosporales. RNAcentral's name for it is "sequence contains ITS2". Lineage: Eukaryota; Fungi; Ascomycota; Dothideomycetes; Pleosporales. The record is from RNAcentral.